AGGUUGACACGUGUCAUGUUUGCAUUGACUGAAACAUCGUUGUCUCUAAGAAGAAGGGUUGAAUAGGCUAAGGGAGGUUGGCAUCGCUUGGCAAAUUUGGCACUGGCAGUGUUUUUGGGUCUUGGGGUGAAAUGCAUGUGUUGGUCUCCGGCAGUUUAUUUCUCUUACAAUAUUUGCUGUGCAUUAGUUUCUGUUUCUAUGUGAUUUGGUCCAUUUUUUAUUUAAUUGUUUAUUUUUCUGGAUUGUAUGGUGUUUGUUUUAUUAUGUUGCCUGGCAAGGUUAAGGUGGAAGUAGGGCUAGGAAGGAAUUUCUUCUGCAACAGUACUAGCUUGUGAACUGCUUUGAGACUCAACUGCUUUUUUGGUUAAAAAGCGAACUUUCUCCGAAAGGGUCUUUUUCUCCUUAAGGUUAGGCCUCGUUUCUCUGCUGCAUCCGUUGGCUUCCCCUGUCCAUCCGGGCAGGAGUGGCCUUUCCACCUUACCAGAGUGCGGAUUUUUCCUUCCUCCCUUCGGGUGGGACUAUACAUAUGAGUUUCUUUUGUUUUGGUGACAGACCAGCAGUACAAGUGAAGGAUUUCAGUUUGUUUGCAUCUCAGUUUCAAGCACCACCUAGAGAUUCAGAUCUAUGGCGUAGGGUUGAAGAUCUGUGUUGGGUUGAAGGCUUCUGCUUCCUAGUGUGUUGGGUUGCCUUGCAUGGGUUGUUUUUCUCAAGAUUGACACGUUUCUUUUAUGGUAUGAUAAUUUUUGGAGACGAAACUGACGUCUUCAGUAGAUAUCCGAUUCCUUAAAUGGCCAGGAGGGUUGAGCGCUGCCUAUCGCCUGGAGAUCUCCUGUUUAGCUAUGUUUUCAGCGUGUAGUUUGGCCUGGGUUGUGAUUUGUUUUGUGUAGGGUUGGCUUGUUUCGGGUGUUCUCUCUUCUUCUCGUUUGCUUUGGCCUUUCUUUUAUGCAAUUCUGGUUUGCUUGUCAUCCAUGUCACCGUCUAGCUCGUUCAACUUGGUGGCGCCGUUUCCUCUACAGGCGGUCCGAGGAUUAUAGGUUGGAGCCUCUAACUUUAGUUCUCUCUGCUUGAGCCAUGGGCCUGUCUUGCUGGAGCUAAAUGGUUUAGAACAAGGGCUUCCCAUGCACUUUGUAAUUGAGCCUUGAACCCAUUUUUGUAUUUCCCAUUUCAGUCCAUUAAUGAAUUUCUUAUCUUCGAUAAAUAAAUAAAUAAAUAAUAA
Molecule: unclassified non-coding RNA, 1216 nt
Filed under: Hevea brasiliensis (rubber tree)
Lineage: Eukaryota; Viridiplantae; Streptophyta; Magnoliopsida; Malpighiales; Euphorbiaceae
Source: RNAcentral